This 433-nucleotide ribosomal RNA is filed under the name uncultured bacterium. RNAcentral describes it as "partial 16S ribosomal RNA". It matches the Rfam family "Bacterial small subunit ribosomal RNA", at positions 29 to 507 of the family's 1533-position model. The record is from RNAcentral.
AACGAACGCUGGCGGCAGGCCUAACACAUGCAAGUCGAGCGCGCCCUUCGGGGUGAGCGGCGGACGGGUGAGUAACGCGUGGGAACGUGCCCUUUUCUACGGAAUAGCCUCGGGAAACUGAGAGUAAUACCGUAUACGCCCUUUGGGGGAAAGAUUUAUCGGAAAAGGAUCGGCCCGCGUUGGAUUAGGUAGUUGGUGGGGUAAUGGCCUACCAAGCCGACGAUCCAUAGCUGGUUUGAGAGGAUGAUCAGCCACACUGGGACUGAGACACGGCCCAGACUCCUACGGGAGGCAGCAGUGGGGAAUCUUAGUCAAUGGGGGCAACCCUGAUCUAGCCAUGCCGCGUGAGUGAUGAAGGCCUUAGGGUUGUAAAGCUCUUUCAGCUGGGAAGAUAAUGACGGUACCAGCAGAAGAAGCCCCGGCUAACUCCGUG